Non-coding RNA from Papio anubis (olive baboon), 46 nucleotides. The record is from Rfam. Lineage: Eukaryota; Metazoa; Chordata; Mammalia; Primates; Cercopithecidae.
ACACAGGUUUUUUUUAAAACCAUGAAUGGUUGUAGAGAACCAGAAU